GCAUUGGCGGCUGCCUACCAUGGCAGUCGAGCGGCAGCGGAAAGUAGCUUGCUACUUUGCCGGCGAGCGGCGGACGGGUGAGUAAUGUCUGGGAAACUGCCUGAUGGAGGGGGAUAACUACUGGAAACGGUAGCUAAUACCGCAUAACGUCGCAAGACCAAAGAGGGGGACCUUCGGGCCUCUUGCCAUCAGAUGUGCCCAGAUGGGAUUAGCUAGUAGGUGGGGUAACGGCUCACCUAGGCGACGAUCCCUAGCUGGUCUGAGAGGAUGACCAGCCACACUGGAACUGAGACACGGUCCAGACUCCUACGGGAGGCAGCAGUGGGGAAUAUUGCACAAUGGGCGCAAGCCUGAUGCAGCCAUGCCGCGUGUAUGAAGAAGGCCUUCGGGUUGUAAAGUACUUUCAGCGGGGAGGAAGGUGUUGUGGUUAAUAACCACAGCAAUUGACGUUACCCGCAGAAGAAGCACCGGCUAACUCCGUGCCAGCAGCCGCGGUAAUACGGAGGGUGCAAGCGUUAAUCGGAAUUACUGGGCGUAAAGCGCACGCAGGCGGUCUGUCAAGUCGGAUGUGAAAUCCCCGGGCUCAACCUGGGAACUGCAUUCGAAACUGGCAGGCUAGAGUCUUGUAGAGGGGGGUAGAAUUCCAGGUGUAGCGGUGAAAUGCGUAGAGAUCUGGAGGAAUACCGGUGGCGAAGGCGGCCCCCUGGACAAAGACUGACGCUCAUGUGCGAAAGCGUGGGGAGCAAACAAGAUUAGAUACCCUGGUAGUCCACGCCGUAAACGAUGUCCACUUGGAGGUUGUGCCCUUGAGGCGUGGCUUCCAGAGCUCACCCCUUAAAUCGACCGCCUGGGGGAGUACGGCCGCAAGGUUAAAACUCACAUAGAAUUGACUCGGUGCGCGCACAAACGGUGGAGCAUGUGGUUUUACUUCUAUGCAACGCGAAGAACCUUCACCUACUC
Molecule: ribosomal RNA, 960 nt
Filed under: Enterobacter sp. S3(2015)
Lineage: Bacteria; Pseudomonadati; Pseudomonadota; Gammaproteobacteria; Enterobacterales; Enterobacteriaceae
Description: bacterial SSU rRNA
Rfam family: Bacterial small subunit ribosomal RNA
Source: RNAcentral